UACGAAGGGGGCUAGCGUUGCUCGGAAUCACUGGGCGUAAAGCGCACGUAGGCGGCCGAUCAAGUCGGGGGUGAAAGCCUGUGGCUCAACCACAGAAUUGCCUUCGAUACUGUUUGGCUUGAGACCGGAAGAGGUUAGUGGAACUGCGAGUGUAGAGGUGAAAUUCGUAGAUAUUCGCAAGAACACCAGUGGCGAAGGCGGCUGACUGGUCCGGUUCUGACGCUGAGGCGCGAAAGCGUGGGGAGCAAACAGG
RNAcentral lists this ribosomal RNA (253 nucleotides) under uncultured bacterium. RNAcentral describes it as "partial 16S ribosomal RNA". It matches the Rfam family "Bacterial small subunit ribosomal RNA", at positions 524 to 776 of the family's 1533-position model. The record is from RNAcentral.